GGUGUAGGCGGAUAGGAUAGUCGGAUGUGAAAGUCCAGGGCUCAACCCUGGAAGUGCAUCCGAUACUACUUAUCUUGAGUACUGGAGAGGAUAGUGGAAUUCCUGGUGUAGCGGUGAAAUGCGUAGAUAUCAGGAGGAACAUCGGUGGCGAAGGCGGCUAUCUGGCCAUGUACUGACGCUCAGACCCGAAAGCGUGGGUAGCAAACA
This 207-nucleotide ribosomal RNA is filed under the name uncultured bacterium. RNAcentral describes it as "partial 16S ribosomal RNA". It matches the Rfam family "Bacterial small subunit ribosomal RNA", at positions 568 to 774 of the family's 1533-position model. The record is from RNAcentral.